This 253-nucleotide ribosomal RNA is filed under the name uncultured bacterium. Its description in RNAcentral is "partial 16S ribosomal RNA". It matches the Rfam family "Bacterial small subunit ribosomal RNA", at positions 524 to 776 of the family's 1533-position model. The record is from RNAcentral.
UACGGAGGGUGCGAGCGUUGUUCGGAAUCACUGGGCGUAAAGCGCGUGUAGGCGGCCUUCUAAGUCUGGUGUGAAAGCCCGGGGCUCACCCCCGGAAGGGCACUGGAAACUGGGAGGCUUGAGUACCGGAGAGGAGGGUGGAAUUCCUGGUGUAGCGGUGAAAUGCGUAGAUAUCAGGAGGAACACCGGUGGCGAAGGCGGCCCUCUGGACGGAUACUGACGCUGAGACGCGAAAGCGUGGGGAUCAAACAGG